RNAcentral lists this ribosomal RNA (253 nucleotides) under uncultured bacterium. RNAcentral describes it as "partial 16S ribosomal RNA". It matches the Rfam family "Bacterial small subunit ribosomal RNA", at positions 524 to 776 of the family's 1533-position model. The record is from RNAcentral.
UACAGAGGGUGCGAGCGUUAAUCGGAAUUACUGGGCGUAAAGCGUGCGUAGGCGGUUUCGUAAGUCGGGUGUGAAAUCCCCGGGCUCAACCUGGGAAUUGCAUUCGAAACUGCGAGGCUAGGGUACGGAAGAGGGAAGCGGAAUUUCUGGUGUAGCGGUGAAAUGCGUAGAUAUCAGAAGGAACAUCAGUGGCGAAGGCGCCACUCUGGGCCGAAACUGACGCUGAGGAGCGAAAGCGUGGGUAGCAAACAGG